This 441-nucleotide ribosomal RNA is filed under the name uncultured bacterium. RNAcentral's name for it is "partial 16S ribosomal RNA". It matches the Rfam family "Bacterial small subunit ribosomal RNA", at positions 338 to 795 of the family's 1533-position model. The record is from RNAcentral.
ACUACGGGAGGCAGCAGUGGGGAAUAUUGCACAAUGGGGGAAACCCUGAUGCAGCGACGCCGCGUGAGUGAAGAAGUAUUUCGGUAUGUAAAGCUCUAUCAGCAGGAACGAGACAAGACGGUACCUGACUAAGAAGCCCCGGCUAACUACGUGCCAGCAGCCGCGGUAAUACGUAGGGGGCAAGCGUUAUCCGGAAUCACUGGGUGUAAAGGGAGCGUAGACGGCUGAGCAAGCCUGAAGUGAACGGCGGGGGCCCAACCCCUGGACUGCUUUGGGAACUGUACGGCUGGAGUGCAGGAGAGGUAAGUGGAAUUCCUGGUGUAGCGGUGAAAUGCGUAGAUAUUAGGAGGAACACCAGUGGCGAAGGCGGCUUACUGGACUGUAACUGACGUUGAGGCUCGAAAGCGUGGGGAGCAAAGAGGAUUAGAUACCCGGGUAGUC